AGAUCCCGGAUACAAGCGGCCGAAAUGAGUUUUCUCCGCAGGGUGUCCGGGCUCUCCCUUAGAGAUAAGGUGAGAAGCUCGGUCAUCCGGGAGGGGCUCAGAGUCGAGCCACUUCUCCUCCACAUCGAGAGGAGCCAGAUGAGGUGGCUUGGGCAUCUGAUUCGGAUGCCUCCUGAACGCCUCCCUGGUGAGGUGUUCCGGGCAUGUCCCACCGGGAGGAGACCCCGAGGAAGACCCAGGACACGCUGGAGAGACUAUGUCACCCAGCUUGCCUGGGAACGCCUCGGGAUCCCCGGGGAGAGCUGGAAGAAGUAGCUAGGGAGAGGGAAGUCUGGGCUUCCCUGCUAAAGCUGUUGCCCCCGCGACCCGGCCCCGGAUAAGCGGUAGAAGAUGGAUGGAUGGAUGGAUGGAUGGAUAGUUUUUUAUAAUAUCCCUUUUUAUGUGUUGACUUCCUGUGUUCAAGUUGUCCAGGGUGGGAAACAAUGGUCAGUCACAGGUGAUUUCACCCUGGUGGAUGGAACUAAAGGUUGCGGGUCGGACUUGGGACUCGUCUCAAUUACAGCAGAAAAUGAAUAGCGAAGGACUGCAUCUGUUCAUGUCAUUUUAAAAACAAAAAAAUACUUUAUAAUGCCACUUGUUUUUUGUCUUUUGAUCGAGCUUUAUAAUGUAAUGAAAUUAAAAUGAAAAUAGCGUUUUUCUCAGUAAUUUUUAGAUGAGAUUAAAUUAUAGAUUAAUUCAAUCAAUUAAUUCAGAUCUUAAUUAAUACAUCUCACAACCUUUUUAAUCGCUUGACAGCACUAAAUAGGACCAUGACAAAAAAAGUACACCUCGGCCUGAUCUUACAACCCUGCCCCAAGUGCAAAUAAUUUCACAAUAAUUUCACUUGUCCAUCAUGAGGCGCUUAUACUUCCACUUCCCAUUUGUAACAUGGAACUAAGAAGUAUUUGUCAAGCAAUCAACAGACAGCAUCGAGUCGAGCCACACCUUUAACUAGUGUUUAUGCCAAAAAAUGACUUUCAAACAAAACUCUGUACUCUGUGCGUUGACUUUAAAAAUGCCUCCACAAACAUACAUUUCGUCUUUCAGCCUUCAAACUGGACAGUUUUCAGAGACCACUCCUGGACGCUCUGUAUGACAUAAAUCGCUUUAUUAUCACUGACCGCUCCACACAAUCUGUGUCUAUUAACCGAUCACUGCGCAGGCCGUGUCUUCAUUGUCUUCCUCCAAUCUUUUCGUUUUGCAAUCAGCGCUUGCUUCAGAAUGGCAGCCAACCCAUCAAAUGGACUGAGAGGGGCUUUGGAAAACCAGGACAAGACCGUAGCUGGGGGGUUGGUUGAAAGGGAGUGGCAAGAUGUCCUUGUCCACAGGAGGAACACGCACACGUGCACGCACACAGACACUCAUGCGCGCACACACCCACGUGCUUCAGAUUUUUGGCAUUGUUGGAGCCAGAUUGCGUAGCGCAACUUCAGUCUGCCGUAAUUCACAACCCGAAGCAACGGAGCUAAAUGAUUCAUCCGCUGAAGCGGUUAAGCUGCAACGUCAUCCUCCCCGAGAGAACGCAACCAGGAGAAAGCUGUGCUCUGUCGAUCAGCCAAUUGUCUCAGAACCAGAGGUUCAGAAUUCUCCGGUCAGACAGAAGAACAAGAUGGAUAUCCCUCCAUGGACAAAUAAUCCAUCACAGAGAGAGUCCCGCCCGAAAUAAGACCACAUUGUCUUCAUCCUAUCGCAGUCCAACUGAGAAAGUGUAUUUCCUCAAUCAGGGUUGGAGGAGAUGUCACGCCCUAUGUCUUUUUUUUUUCUUUUUCUUUUUUAGCUCCGCAAAAUGGGAACAUGUUCACUUUUAUGAUAAUGAAUAGAACAGAGUCGUCAGGCGAGCCUUUUUAAUAUGCAGUUACUGUGGAAACUCCAGGCUUAACAUCUUCUGCCAAGCAUAUCAAAAUAAGAUAAAGAAGAGACAAAAAAAAAACAUAAGAGAAAGGCCUUCGGGCACUAUUUUGCCUGUUGACACCCUUGAGAGGUGAAGUGUCGCCUGGUGCUAUAUUGAAGGCAGUCACAGCUCCUGUCGAAGGAAGAAACUGAAGUGGUGGAGACUGAGGCGGUGGGGGGUGGGGCGGGGGGGUGUACAGUUUUACACGUGACAUCAACCACCACGCUGACACACAACCAAAUUAUGCCGUUAUUUACUAUGAAAUAACGUCGUUUCAAUGGUGCAGCCAAUUUGAAUGACAUUUGCUGAUCCAAGAAUACUUCUACAUGGAUGGAUAUAUCACCCUGUAACCCACUGGUGUCAAAGUCAAGGCGCGGGGGCCAAAUCCGGCCCGCUCCGUCAUUUUAUGUGGCCCGCGGAAGCAGAUCAUGUGUGUCUGUACUAAAAUGUCAAAUUAUCAUGUGUCUUAAAUAACACCGACAUUUUGCAAUAAUACCGUCUUUGUUACGGAUUUGCUUUUCUGUUUGUUGUGUAUGUUCAUUGCUCCAUGUUUGUCACUUUGUAUGCAGCGAUGGCUGUUUGAAAGUGCUUUAUAAAUACAGUUGAGUUGAGUUGAGAUAAUGUUUUUACCCUGUCGACACUCACUUAACAAUUGAGCAACAAACAGUUGAGUGAUUUCAAAAUUAGUAAUCCAUCAAUUGUUCUGUCAAAGUUAUAAUAUGAUGAGAUGAUUGCGUAAACAUUCAUUCGGCCUCACUGUCUGAACGGCCCUCCAAGGAACUCCAGUGUGGCCCGCGGCAAAAAUGAGUUUCACACCCCUGCUGUAACCUGAUAACCUGAUAAGAUAAAAAUCAAGGUGCGCCCGUUUUUUUUCGAUUUGCUUGUUGAUGCCUGAGAGCUUGUGCACAGUCUACAAAAAUGGAACCCUAUGAUUCAAUGCUGACUUAAAGAUCAUAAAUUGAGAGGUGUCUCAGAAGAGAGAUGCACCAGAACACUCGAUGUAAUGCGUAUAAUGGCCCUGUGUCCCCCGUACGGGCAAAAAGUGAGUUUAUUACAUGCCUCCAUCUACCUUUUAGAAGGUGCCGUCACUUCUAUUCCGCGCGUUCAUCUUGUGGUUGGCCGCGGCCACACCACUUGGCGCCGCACCAAAUACGCUGGUAUGAAUCUAUCGGAGGACGAAUCUUCAAUACGACUCAAGGGGGAAAUUGCUCAUGAGUGUACAUGAUGAAUGAUGCAUGCAGCUGCAUGUGACCUAAGCAUUACUCUUGGCUCGGUUUUCAGUGAACACAAUAACCCAAGGUUAUAUUGAAAAGAGUGACUGCACAUCUACAUCUCCAGCUGCUUGAUAACCUUGUUGCAACUAGGGAGUCUGAGACAUUUUUCCUGUCAUAAUUUGAUCCAGAACACAAUUUUAUUAUUGCAAAAGUAAAGCCUCGCGGGCAACUAACUUGACAACCGCCUUUAAGACAAUCAGGUGAUUGAGCACUCUUUCGAUUUAAAAAAAUAAUAAACAAUUGUCUGAAGACUAUCUUCUGAGGGAUUUGUUACGAAGCCGCAUACCAUGUAGCCUGUGAUGGGGAGGAAAUAAUGAGCGAAUGAAACUCGGUGAAGCAUGAGUGAACAGAUGGAUAGACUGUGGAUCUAAUUUGCCCCCUUCCGGACUUGGCCUCUACGAAACCAGUUUGAUACAUACUGCUUGCUGCCUUUGGCAUGACCGCGGUCCAUAAAAUCAAGCGCAGCGCGCACACAAUGAGCAAAAACAGACACAUACUCUUCACGUUUUUAGUCUUAAAAAUCCAGAGAGGUCGAUACAAAACUUGUUGGUUAGCACAAUCCUCUAAAAUUGUCCUACAGGACACAGACACUUCUGAUGGCUAAACUUAGACUCACACGUUUGCAUUUUAUUUUUAGUAGGCUCUCUUCAUCCAAAGACAUUUGCCGUGUUCUUUGUUUUCAUUGCAACGUGACUGCAAAGAGCUGUCAUUUACAGACGGUGUGCCGCUAGCUAUGUAAAAGAAUCCAAUAUGGAUUGUGAAAAUGAGAGUAUUCAAGUAUGAGUCAAAAAGGUCCUAAAAAGGCUAAGAGGUGUCAUGUUUUGUCUUGAUUGCGCUCCAGCUCCAGCUGGAGUGAAGGGCGGUUCCCUCCAGCAGGUGCACCUGCGCCUCGUUUCCUCAUCAAGGCUGGCUUGUUAUUUAAGGGCUCUGAUUUCUGUCGGGUUUCUGACCCUGUUUGUUGUUGUGUGUCAAGUGUGACCCCCCCCCCCCCCCCCGACUUCUUGAUUCUAUUCAUAGCCGCUCUCGUUUUUGCUCAUACAUACUUGUUUGUAAUUAUUUUUCUUAUUCGACUAUUGCUCUUUGUUUUUGUUUUAUUGGACUUUUGCAUAUUCCAUUUGCGUAUUCUCUGUGUUCUAUUGAACUCUGACUUUGCAAGCGCUUUUGGUUUCGUCAAGUGUUUUUCCUGGCCUCUUGAGACCAGAGAUUUCAGUGUAUAUUUUGUCAAUGCGAUUUUCUUGAAUAAAGUUUUUUUUAAUCGCGCUUUGUCUGAAUAAAGUUUUAGAUUCUCCAAAAAAGGUC
Hippocampus zosterae (dwarf seahorse) is the source of this 4503-nucleotide long non-coding RNA. RefSeq lists it as uncharacterized. NCBI's taxonomy places the organism in Eukaryota, Metazoa, Chordata, Actinopteri, Syngnathiformes, Syngnathidae. The transcript is spliced from 3 exons. The record is from RefSeq and is a predicted model, not a curated record.